This is a non-coding RNA of Pelobates cultripes (western spadefoot toad), 621 nucleotides long. The record is from the annotation of a GenBank genome assembly. Lineage: Eukaryota; Metazoa; Chordata; Amphibia; Anura; Pelobatidae.
CUGAGAGCCCGGCCUGUCAUAGCGCGGCGCCGCUCACCUUGUGAAUCCGUUUCAGCGCCAUGAUGCUGUGUCUAGUGCUGCCGGUGCCGGGCGGGUGUUCGGGUGAGCUGGGCGGAGAGGGGAGGUGAGGAGGAGGUGGCUGAGGGCCCCCUGUACAAUAUCCGGGACACGCUACAACCCGGAGACGCCCACACACGCCACAGGGGAGGGUGACAGGAGGCGGGCUGACAGGGAGCACUGCGAACUGCCCGCUGGGUGUACGGCUAUCCGCUCGGUGACCCGUCGGGUGUUCUUCUUCUUCAAUUCGCCCCUCCCCCCCUUUUCUCGCGCGCCGCUUUCUUGCUGCUGAUGCUGCUGCUCCUGCUUUCUCGGGCUUGCCCGUCACGCGCCACAACUACGUCACAGGACCUGUGGCACGCGCUUUUUCCCUCUCUGCCCCUCCCACCUGACGCUACGUUCACUGCGGACACGCACGGCUGCUCAGCUUGCUGCGAGACGGUUAGACGUACUCGUGCCCGAGGAAAGGGAGGCGACGCGCACACCGCGCAGUGUGAGCAAUAACAAGGCGGCGAUAUGCGGGUGGUGAUGUCACUCGUUUCGUGCACGAGCGGAAGCUGCGGU